RNAcentral lists this transfer RNA (68 nucleotides) under Xenothrix mcgregori (Jamaican monkey). RNAcentral describes it as "tRNA-Pro". The record is from RNAcentral. Lineage: Eukaryota; Metazoa; Chordata; Mammalia; Primates; Pitheciidae.
CAGGGAAUAGUUUAAGUUAGAAUUUCGGCUUUGGGUGUUGAUGGUGGAGCAAGUUGCUUCUUCCCUGN